UUCACAAAUUUUUUGAUAUUCCUCCCUUUAAUGGAGGGGAACUAAUUUCCUUUCCAUUGCAUAUAGGCUGGAGUGGACUUGGUGAAUCUCUUCUCAUAAAAAGAGUAUAAUGGAAGUGACAGUGUAAGACUUUGAAGCCUGGGCAUAAAGGGCACUGUGAUUUCCUGCUUAUUCUCUCUCUCUCUCUUUCUCUCUCUCGCUUUCUUUUUGUGUUUCUCUCACACAUGAUUCAUUGUGGGAAAGCUAGCUGCCAUGUGGCAAGAAACCAAGGCCUCCUGCAAACAGGCAUGUGUGUGAGCCAUCCAAUGGUGGCUCCUUCAGCCCCAGUCAGACCUUCAGAUGAGACAACAGCAUCUGCCAGCAUCAUAACCUCCACCUUAUGAGAGACUCUGAGCUAGAGCUACCCAGAAACCCAACUAGCCUUAAGUAGGCACGGUUUUCCAAGUCCUGGCCACUGGUGUCCCUAAGAGAUUUCAGGGAGAAGCAGUUUUGGCAGAGCGUUAGAGCCAGAGGCUGGCCAGUGAAGGGAACAAUGUCUGGGUUUUGAGAACAGCUGGAGCUUUGGAGGGAGAAAAGCAGCUUGGCGAAUGAGGAAAGAAUGUGCUUGUCACUUCAAGAGGCGAGAAACUUCGAUUUCCCUCCUGACGCUGCCAACAAGUUUCAUUGGAAAGGACAGAGUGGUGGUGAUGGCAGAGCUCCAAGACUGGAAUUAGUACUUCUGGAGAAAAAAACAUUUUCAUGUGGUCUCUUGUCACUGCUGACAGUGAAGUUCCUGGCCUGGCCACUUUCGUCGAACCACUUCAGACGUGGUGGCUUCCUCCACAUCCAAACUCUGUGAAAGUGUCUCUUAGGGCUGUUGUUCUUAGAAGAGUGUGAGCGAAGCAGGAACUUGGAAUUUCGUACUCUUUUUCCAGCACAAGUAUGAAGAAAUGAACUAGACGUGAAUAAGUCUGUGAAAAGAAGUCAGUGAACUUCAGGGAAUAUCCUGUGAGCAUCAUCUUCUUUUUCAGCAGCAUUAAGAGCAUCUCCAGUGGGUUCACAUAUAUUUUUUGAGUGUCUGUUUUCUGUUAAUCAUGGUGAGAACAUUAAGAAUAAUUUUAGAAAUUGGAAACAUUCUUAACUCUGAGAGAUCAUUACUUUGCUCUGCUGUGGUUACAAAUACAGUAAGUUCAACAUAAACACAGCUUAAGAAGUGUCUCAACCACUUCAGAAAUGUAGAAGUAUUUUUUAUAAUCUAGAGUAUUUAAUUAAUCAAAACUUCUAUUGCCCUAGUAUUCUGAUUAAUCAAUAUUUUCAUUUGUGAGUUUCAGAUGAAGAAUUAUUUGCACAAUGACAUAUCUGGGUUUUUUAAUACACUUUCUUCUGAAUCUUUCUUUAGUGUGAUGUGAGGUAUACAUGAGAAAUGUGCAUUUAAAUAGUCACAGUAAUGAUUGUAAUGAAUUCCAAGUGAGGACCGCAUGCUCUAAUUCCCAUGAAUUGAGGGGUAAUAUUUUUAUGUUAUCGUUUUCUAUAAUAAAACCUAAAACCAG
Molecule: long non-coding RNA, 1529 nt
Organism: Phacochoerus africanus (Common warthog)
Lineage: Eukaryota; Metazoa; Chordata; Mammalia; Artiodactyla; Suidae
Exons: 4
Source: RefSeq, a predicted model, not a curated record